Molecule: long non-coding RNA, 818 nt
Filed under: Vulpes vulpes (red fox)
Lineage: Eukaryota; Metazoa; Chordata; Mammalia; Carnivora; Canidae
Description: lncRNA (ENSVVUG00000016866.1)
Source: RNAcentral
AGCAACAUCACCUGUGAGUAAUUAAGCAUCUCUCGAGAAUUGCUGAAGUUGGCUUUCAAUUCUUGGCCUUGUUACAAAUAGCUACUUAGGCUAGUUGGACCCUGCCUAACGGUUGCGUUGCAGAUUAUAAUGCCCAAUAUGAGCCGGGAAGUAAGAAGGCGUUAUGGCCAACAUGUGUUUUUCAACAAGGCUCGCAGUCACCUGUGGCACAGGCAGGUUAACUGCAGGUCACCACUAAAAAUAUGCGGACGUAUCCAGUUCAGGGGCUCUGACACCAAGCAAGGCUUUUACACGCGAAUGAGGCAUGUUGGAACACCUGAAGAAUAUUGGAAGCUAAAUCAGUUUUCAUCCAAAUCUGAAGACUUACAAAUAAAUCACUUCAAGCCUUUGAUAUGGAGUGCCAACACAUCUUAGGACCCUUGAAUCUACAUGGUCUUGGGUAACUUCUUCAGAACACCCCCAAAAAGAAUACUUUCAUUAAAGGGCAUCUGCUGAAACACAUAAUGAGAACAAAGGCUUUAGAAUGCUCUUGAUUUUAAUCAAGAUACCUAAAAUAUCUUUACAAAAUUAUACAUGACUUGUGAGACUUCAUACAUGUUAAAACACUCGGGACUGUGAUAUUUAAAUGAGGUCAACAUAAAAAGUGAUAAUAUUAACAAACUAUGGUUCAUUUAUAAUAUCAGUGACUUUAGAGUUAAUAAUGACAGAAAAGUUAAAGUGAUCCAACUGCUUAAUGAAGUAAAAAGCAAGAAAAGAUAAGGUAAUGGUUGAGCUGCAAAUCUAAUAAAAGUAGCCUGUAAGGUAGGAGGUUUAAAUGU